Molecule: ribosomal RNA, 1512 nt
Filed under: Clostridium botulinum
Lineage: Bacteria; Bacillati; Bacillota; Clostridia; Eubacteriales; Clostridiaceae
Also listed under: 6 other names
Description: bacterial SSU rRNA
Rfam family: Bacterial small subunit ribosomal RNA
Source: RNAcentral
UAAAUUUAGAGUUUGAUCCUGGCUCAGGACGAACGCUGGCGGCGUGCUUAACACAUGCAAGUCGAGCGAUGAAGCUUCCUUCGGGAAGUGGAUUAGCGGCGGACGGGUGAGUAACACGUGGGUAACCUGCCUCAAAGUGGGGGAUAGCCUUCCGAAAGGAAGAUUAAUACCGCAUAAUAUAAGAGAAUCGCAUGAUUUUCUUAUCAAAGAUUUAUUGCUUUGAGAUGGACCCGCGGCGCAUUAGCUAGUUGGUAAGGUAACGGCUUACCAAGGCAACGAUGCGUAGCCGACCUGAGAGGGUGAUCGGCCACAUUGGAACUGAGACACGGUCCAGACUCCUACGGGAGGCAGCAGUGGGGAAUAUUGCGCAAUGGGGGAAACCCUGACGCAGCAACGCCGCGUGGGUGAUGAAGGUCUUCGGAUUGUAAAGCCCUGUUUUCUAGGACGAUAAUGACGGUACUAGAGGAGGAAGCCACGGCUAACUACGUGCCAGCAGCCGCGGUAAUACGUAGGUGGCGAGCGUUGUCCGGAUUUACUGGGCGUAAAGGGUGCGUAGGCGGAUGUUUAAGUGGGAUGUGAAAUCCCCGGGCUUAACCUGGGGGCUGCAUUCCAAACUGGAUAUCUAGAGUGCAGGAGAGGAAAGCGGAAUUCCUAGUGUAGCGGUGAAAUGCGUAGAGAUUAGGAAGAACACCAGUGGCGAAGGCGGCUUUCUGGACUGUAACUGACGCUGAGGCACGAAAGCGUGGGUAGCAAACAGGAUUAGAUACCCUGGUAGUCCACGCCGUAAACGAUGGAUACUAGGUGUAGGGGGUAUCAACUCCCCCUGUGCCGCAGUUAACACAAUAAGUAUCCCGCCUGGGGAGUACGGUCGCAAGAUUAAAACUCAAAGGAAUUGACGGGGGCCCGCACAAGCAGCGGAGCAUGUGGUUUAAUUCGAAGCAACGCGAAGAACCUUACCUGGACUUGACAUCCCUUGCAUAGCCUAGAGAUAGGUGAAGCCCUUCGGGGCAAGGAGACAGGUGGUGCAUGGUUGUCGUCAGCUCGUGUCGUGAGAUGUUAGGUUAAGUCCUGCAACGAGCGCAACCCUUGUUAUUAGUUGCUACCAUUAAGUUGAGCACUCUAAUGAGACUGCCUGGGUAACCAGGAGGAAGGUGGGGAUGACGUCAAAUCAUCAUGCCCCUUAUGUCCAGGGCUACACACGUGCUACAAUGGUAGGUACAAUAAGACGCAAGACCGUGAGGUGGAGCAAAACUUAUAAAACCUAUCUCAGUUCGGAUUGUAGGCUGCAACUCGCCUACAUGAAGCUGGAGUUGCUAGUAAUCGCGAAUCAGAAUGUCGCGGUGAAUACGUUCCCGGGCCUUGUACACACCGCCCGUCACACCAUGAGAGCUGGUAACACCCGAAGUCCGUGAGGUAACCGUAAGGAGCCAGCGGCCGAAGGUGGGAUUAGUGAUUGGGGUGAAGUCGUAACAAGGUAGCCGUAGGAGAACCUGCGGCUGGAUCACCUCCUUU